AUUUCUUUUGAGAAAUCAGCUGAUAGCCAUAUGGGCACUCCUUUGUAGGUAACUCUCUCCUUUCCUCUUGCUUCUUUUAGGGUUCUCUUAAAUGAGCAAACUCGAACUCCCCACAGGCUCCCUCUUCUGCAGCUGAGGCAAACCAACAGGCUUUGGGGAUCUGGGCUUCUCACUGGCAGGAAAGAACAUUUAGGGAUUAAGAAGUAGGUGAGGGAGAGAGGAAAGGAAGAGGAAUCUAUGUGCAAGGAAGUUUGUACUAUCUUUAGACAAAGGAGGGUUCAAAGGAAACACACCCAGCCUGCAAAAGGGAAGUGAGAAAUGACUAAAACUUUUUUAAAAAGUAUCUACCUUGAAUUUUACACUGGCAGGGCUGAGUAUCUUAUUUUGAAAUUAUUUUCUCUUUUAUACCUUGUUCAUACCACUUUCUCAUUCAUAUUUGUCUGGUGACACCACAGUAAUGAGUGUCACUGGAAAGACACGGUAUAGAACUAGGUGGCAGGGGUGGAGGGGGUGAGGCACGUGCAGGAAAUGGGGAAAUACAGAGGAAGAAAGGAAACAGAAGGCAAUGUAUCAUCUCCUCCACACUGCGAAAAUAGUUACCUUCAGGGUGACGAGACCUAUUCAAUAGAGUAUUGGGAUGUUGUCUUACUGCUCUCAAUCCUAAAUCUGUUAUUUUCUGGGUUUUGUAUAUAUUUGUUGGGAAACGAAGUCCCAGUUGAAUCUUUGUUACUCUCACGCUAGGGCAAAAGUUGUGGGUAUGGUAAAGACUUUUAUUCGGAAUAAAUUUUAUUUCUGGACAUUGUCUUUCUUCAAGGUCUCUUUUCCGAAGUAGCACUACGCUCUUUAGACCAGUGCAUUGCAUCAUCCUUCGGUUCAUUUGCCACCGUGUAUGGGCAUUUCCAGGGCCUCAGAUGUGAAAGAUGUAAAAGCAAACACACUCCAUGCCCUCAAGGAGCUCAUGGUCACUACGAAAGAGAGACAACUGAACAAAAUACUCACUAUUUAAAAGUUCCAUAGGCAAAGGCUGUACAAAGUGUCAUGGCAUGUCUAGCAUGAAUAAGUUUCUUCCAAGCGGAGAACAUUUUUUUGUAUGUUUUCUGUUAGGAAGCAAAUCUCCCUUGUUAAGAAAAAAAUAAGUGGGCAUCAUUCAGUUAUUAACCCAAAUUAUUUAGUGUCUAGUUGGUGCCCUGCAUCUAGAAAGGCUUUCAUGCUCCAUUACUGGAAGCUCCUGACAUACGGCCAAGCCCAAUAUCAUACAGUCCUGGGGGAAAUAUUAUAUUUUUCUGGGUACGCAAUUGAGAAAACUCCAUAUUUAGAAUCCUUGGCAUUUUCACUGCAUAACAAUUUGGGGAAAUCACAUCAGGCACAUAUUUAGAAGGUGUCCCAUGGUAAGUAUGAGAAGUUGCCUUGGUUUCACAUAAAAAUUAACCCUGGCUUAUCAGAUGUCUGAAAGAAUCAGGAAAAGCAAAAGUUAUCCUAUCUCUUUAGCGUUAUUAAAUGUCCCUCUGGAAUUACACGAGCUCUUGAGGAGCAGGAAAACUUUGUCUCACACUUAGUCCCAUGGUGGUAGUAGAUGUUCUUUAUCUCUGAUGUUUUCCCUAAGCUUUGCUGGAAUGUUUCUCUCUUGGGCUUCGGGGAGUAUGGUUCCGUGGAAACCAUGAGGCAAAGGGCCCCCUCUCUGCCUUUCAGCUUGCUUUUCUGACUAUUUAAUGCCACAGUCUCUGAGCCGGUUUCUUCACCACUCACAUGGCUCCUCCCUGCCCAGGCUUCCUCGAGAUUUGGUGAGGAUUCAUUGAAUAAUGGGACCUGUGAGCUUGCUAAAAAGAGGCUCCGUAUGACUUCGUGUGGCCUCCCCGAGACCACAUCAGUUAUUUGCUUCUGCACACUGAUGUGCGGGAGCCCGGUUCAUCGGUAAAUGAAGAGGGAAGAGCAGGGUUGGAGGCACAGUCUGGGAGGAGAGAGGAGUGGAGGAUGGAGAGCAGGGCAUAGCAUCUGCUGUCUUUAUGACAGCUGAAACUGACCUGGUACCUUGGCAGAGAGGCUGUCUGGGGACCAAAGGCUGAUGCACCUCUUUAACUAGCUAUUCGGGAAUGUGGGACAGAGUGGAGGUCAGAAACAGAGGCAGGGCUUCAACAGGCCAUGGGCGGUGCUGCUCUGGGGAAGAAGUGGGAAACAGCGCUGGGCGGGAGCCACAGUUCUCUUAAGGAGCCCCUUGAGCACCCAAUGACUGGCUACCUUGGGGGUGACCCUGGCCACACUGGUACUUUCCAGGUGGGCUCCUUGGGGAGGAAGUCAUGCCGAGGAGCCUCUACGGUCAGUGGACAAGUGGGGCUGAAACACCAGGGAAACUGGGAGGCUACAGCUGUAACUGAUGGACUGGUUUACGGGCCCACCCAAAGCCCUUUGGGGGGCUGUGAGGAAAAACUAUGCUCACUCUGAAAGUUCGUUAGUUUUUCUUAUUGGAAUGUAUGUAUAUUCUCCCAAUUUUAAGUGUCAACUCAACAAAAUCUUAAAUAUUAUGUUGAAUAAAGUGUGUCUGCAGGUAAAAUGUGGUCUGUGAAACAUCCGUUCAUUACCUUUCCAUAACUCACUGGAAUUCCCUAGAAUGCCCAGUUUUUUGCCAUCUUCAUUACUCAGAUGUACCCUGGAUGCACCACAAAAUUAUGUAUCAGACCAUGUGGCAGGGACCGCUCACUGACUCCCCAUACCUAGUCUUCCUUUCUCUCUUUGUAUCAAAACCAGUAUAGUCCAUAUAAUGGCAAUGACCCCAGCUAAGCUACUAAGUUUUCCGACUCCCUUAUCGUCAAGGGUAGGCAGCUGGCUGUGUAUUGGCCAAUGAGACAUAAGAACGGUGUCCCGAGGGACUUCUGAGAAGGCACUAUCUUAUCAGGUUGCUCACUCAGCUGGGGAGAGGUGAAGAAUUCCCAUCAAGGAUAUUCCCCCUUCCUGGGCUUCGACUGUAGACAAUGUGGCAGAAACGUGGGCAACUUGCUUGCCUCAUUAAGGUGCCUUCAGCACGGAAGCCGUGUAGCAGGAUGACGGAACAGAAAGAGAGAAGUCUAUCUUUAGUGACCCAGAUUCUGUCCUUAUCCGUAAACUUCUGUUACUUAAGAGAGAAAAACAUCUUGCUAAACUGUCUUCCUCAGGUUUCUACUAUACACAGCGACCUGAUUCAGACACACAGCAUUAUUUACAUGUUUAUGCAUAAAAAAUUAAACAAUAAAAAUUGCAUUUAGAGAUGAUUCAAGACAUCAGUGUGCAAGGUGUCACCUGGCAGUAUAUGAUGAAUUGUCGGAAACAAAAUGGGCAGGCCUAAAGGGCGUGAGAAUUCUGCCUUUGGCUGAGGUGGCGCAGAGUGGGCCUGUUUUGGUAAGUGGGAUUUAACUUGAGCAGCAAGAAUAGGGACUUACGCAUGUAAGGGAAGGGGAUGACGUGAAUAAAGGUGUGAGUCCAGCAACAGGAGCGGGCAGGCCAAUGUUGGUGAAACAGCAAGCAGACGCUGUUGGUCUGAGGGGAGUUUCUGAGUUGGAAAGUCAUGGAAGGUACAGCCAGUAAAAUUCUUGGGAAUCUCCAACAUAAAGCCACGAUCUUUUCUUACUUGGUGCGAGAUGGUGUUGUUUCAGGGAUAUCUAGCACCCUCUUUCUCACUUUUGUCUCCUCGGAUUGGAACGUUGCGGUCUUUUCCUGAUUUACUCUCACAAACAAACGCUCAUGCCCAGCCCCAUUCCUGAAGGGGCCCUUGCCCAGCAUGGCACCCAAAACGUGGCACCGAGAAUGGCACCCCUGGGAAGGGGCUUCUUGGUUUGGAACAGGAACAGGCCAGCUUCUUUGUCACAUUAUCAACGGGCUUCAUGAUAGCAUCCACCAUUUGUUCAGACUUUUUGGCUAAACACAGGUCACACCCACGACUCAUAGUGGAGAAGCUCAUGGUGUCACUGAAGAAAUGGAGGUGCAGACAAUGGCCCCUGUACAGACCGUGGCUCACGAGCAUCCCACAAAGUCUCUGUGCCUCCCUGGUCCACGUGCUCUCGGCCCCAUCGCACAACCUGCUCUGCACCCUGUAAACGGGCCCAGGUGGUGAGUCGGUCUGAAGCCCUCCCAGGACAAGCCUUUAAAUUCGUAUGGCAUCUUGCUAUCUGUGGAUAUCUCCUGGACCAAUAACACAAGGAAUUUACACUUGAUUGCAAGGCAGAAUGCGGAAAGGCAGAUGGAAAUUUUACAUUCCCAGGCAUUGAGAGUACAAUAUUGGACAAGAAAGAAUCGUUGUCUGCCCUCAAGAGAAAUGAUGGUAUGUCGGGGAAUACACAAAGUAAGCAGGCGGAGAGUUAGCACACUUACUCUACAGUGGGGUAAGCGCUACAAAAUGAGGAAGCGGAGGAAAGAGUGCUGAAUGUCAACUGCAGUAGCAGAGGUGGCUGUGGAAACAAGUGGCCUCUAGACUGAGCCUGGAAGGUGAGUCAGAGCAAACCAGACAGAGAUGGGGAAAUACAGCUGCAGAGGGAAGAUCAGUAACAAAUGCUCAGAGGCAAAAGACAGACUUGACUAUUUGGGGAACUCAAAAUAAAACAUUUCUUAACUAGACAAGCGCCCUGGGGUCAGAUCUGUGGGAGUUUGCAGAUAAUGUUUCAGAGUUUGUACUUGGCUUCAAAGGUAAUGAAGCAUUUUCAGCAGGAGACUUCCAUCAUCAGAUUGGCGUUUGUUUUCAAGUACUACAUAUAUAAAGGAAUAACAGUAUGGAAAGAAAAAGGGAUUGAAAAACAACUUUGUUUUGAUGCUUUUGUGAAGGGUGAAAACUCUCACAUAGCACUUCUCCCACCAGACACAAUUCUUAUGACGCUUUUUUAUUUGAGCACAAGAGGCAAGAAAGUGUGCAACAAAAUACGCAUAAGGAAAUAGGCUGUGUCUAUAGAACAUGAGGUAACGUUUGGAUGAUGUGCUACCUCUUUCUACCUUGGUAGGAAGCCAUUGAUGGUAGGAGCGAAGUGAAGAAGGUGCCGACAUUCACAGCUGCAGAGCAGGGCUCACCUCACUG
Phyllostomus discolor (pale spear-nosed bat) is the source of this 5032-nucleotide long non-coding RNA. RefSeq lists it as uncharacterized. The transcript has 3 exons. NCBI's taxonomy places the organism in Eukaryota, Metazoa, Chordata, Mammalia, Chiroptera, Phyllostomidae. The record is from RefSeq and is a predicted model, not a curated record.